UCCCCUUGUGUCGAAUCAAUAAAUUGGGUUAACUUACCAGUGAAGACUCUUGCGAUCCCUUACACUUAUGGGUCAUCAAGACUAUUUUCUGGCGCCGUUGUCGGGGAGCAUAGCUUUAUUUACAAGUCUAUUUGGAGUUAUUUUACCGUCCACUACACGAAAAGGUACUGUUCUUGGCACUAGCACUACACUUGAUUCACCUUCCAUUAUGAGUAAGUUUGCUUCACCACCACCACAUGCUGCUUCUAUCGAGUCCGUCACUAUGCCUGAUACUUUUGAUGAUGCUUCUACUACUAUUGAUGAGAUUGGUUUACUUGGUUAUUUUAUCGAGUCUUAGAUUGCUAAGGCUGCGAAGCAGUCUGGGGUUGAAAUUCCUGUUACACGCUACCCCAUUGGUAUAUCCUUUGGUUACCCAGACUUGAGUGGUCUCAGGAAAAGAAUUCUUGAUGAUGAUUAUAUUGAACUUGAUAAUGAUUUAUGCAGGGAACUUGCAGAGUGUGCUGACUCUGACCCUGCUAUUGUUAAGAAGCUGCUUGAAAAGCAUUCUAUGAAGAAUAAAUUUACUCCUGAUCCUAAAUUUGCUUUAUCUCCUAUUUGCAUUGAGGAUGUUGAUUUUGAUUUCUCUAUUGAUCUUUCACUUAUAUCCAUAGUUGAAGCUGACCCCUUUAUGACAGACAAAAUGACGAUGCUAUUGCAUACCUUACCAAACUCACCGAGUUGG
This 721-nucleotide long non-coding RNA is filed under the name Hordeum vulgare. RNAcentral describes it as "long non-coding RNA (HVUL_LNC018491)". The record is from RNAcentral. Lineage: Eukaryota; Viridiplantae; Streptophyta; Magnoliopsida; Poales; Poaceae.